UCCGGGGCAGAAAAUUGGGUA
This 21-nucleotide unclassified non-coding RNA is filed under the name Candidatus Scalindua brodae. RNAcentral's name for it is "RNA (5'-R(P*UP*CP*CP*GP*GP*GP*GP*CP*AP*GP*AP*AP*AP*AP*UP*UP*GP*GP*GP*UP*A)-3') from Candidatus Scalindua brodae (PDB 8D9E, chain D)". The record is from RNAcentral. Lineage: Bacteria; Pseudomonadati; Planctomycetota; Candidatus Brocadiia; Candidatus Brocadiales; Candidatus Scalinduaceae.